Molecule: ribosomal RNA, 465 nt
Filed under: Vreelandella stevensii
Lineage: Bacteria; Pseudomonadati; Pseudomonadota; Gammaproteobacteria; Oceanospirillales; Halomonadaceae
Description: partial 16S ribosomal RNA
Rfam family: Bacterial small subunit ribosomal RNA
Source: RNAcentral
CCUACGGUGGGCUGCAGUGGGGAAUAUUGGACAAUGGGCGAAAGCCUGAUUCAGCCAUGCCGCGUGUGUGAAGAAGGCCUUCGGGUUGUAAAGCACUUUCAGUGGGGAAGAAAGCCUUGGGGCUAAUACCCUCGAGGAAGGACAUCACCCACAGAAGAAGCACCGGCUAACUCCGUGCCAGCAGCCGCGGUAAUACGGAGGGUGCGAGCGUUAAUCGGAAUUACUGGGCGUAAAGCGCGCGUAGGCGGUCUGAUAAGCCGGUUGUGAAAGCCCCGGGCUCAACCUGGGAACGGCAUCCGGAACUGUCAGGCUAGAGUGCAGGAGAGGAAGGUAGAAUUCCCGGUGUAGCGGUGAAAUGCGUAGAGAUCGGGAGGAAUACCAGUGGCGAAGGCGGCCUUCUGGACUGACACUGACGCUGAGGUGCGAAAGCGUGGGUAGCAAACAGGAUUAGAUACCCUAGUAGUC